CACCACUCAAGCCUCGCUUGGUAUUGGGCAUCGCGGUCCGCCGCGUGCCUCAAAUCGACCGGCUGGGUCUUCUGUCCCCUAAGCGUUGUGGAAACUAUUCGCUAAAGGGUGUUCGGGAGGCCACGCCGAAAAACAAACCCAUUUCUAA
This 148-nucleotide unclassified non-coding RNA is filed under the name Cladosporium cladosporioides. RNAcentral describes it as "sequence contains ITS2". Lineage: Eukaryota; Fungi; Ascomycota; Dothideomycetes; Cladosporiales; Cladosporiaceae. The record is from RNAcentral.